AAGACACUAGUAAAAUUAAAUUACGCGGCCUUGUCAGGGCCGAGUUGUGAGCUGGCUCCUCACGUGUCUUAUU
RNAcentral lists this transfer RNA (73 nucleotides) under Chionodraco hamatus (Antarctic icefish). RNAcentral describes it as "tRNA-Asp". The record is from RNAcentral. Lineage: Eukaryota; Metazoa; Chordata; Actinopteri; Perciformes; Channichthyidae.